AAAUUUAAGAAGUUCCAAAUAUUAGUAGUGUGGUCCCUUAAAAAUCUGACUCCAAUUUCACCCAAAAAUCUCUAACUCUGCAACCUUGGUGGAAGAACCAGUAGCUCAGAUAUGUUCUGUGAGACAUUAAGUGAUGAAACUUUGAGACUAUUAUUAAAGAAAGAUCAAAGUUCUAUCACCUCUGUACAUUUCCUAGAUGAUAGCAUUGAUAUGAGAGGUGAAAAAUAUAGAUCUAAUAUAUAGAAACUCUCUCACCUAUGCUAAUCCCAGCCUGGUUGGAGGAUCCAACCUACUAUAAAAAAGUACCAUUUAUGUCCUUAUUCAAGAAACUUGUAACCCAUGCCACCGCUAUUGAAGCAAAACAUAAUGAGUUUAACACUUUAAUGUCCCAGGGCCAUAAAUUUAGAUAUAUUGAUAUAUUUAUGUGCAGUAUAUAUAAUGAAGUCUCAUGCAUCUAUGAUGAUUUAUUGCCUGACUUGUGCCAAGAUCAACGGGAUUUUAAUGAAAGUAAAUAAGAGUGAAGCAUUUAUUGGUGAGAUAUAAUAAGAUGCUGUGUACUGUAGCCAAGAAGAUCAUGAGCUGCACGGAUACAAGUGUGGUUUUUUUAUUCACCAAUUUACUCAUUUAAUGAGAGAAAAGAGUAAUUAAAAAUACAAAUAAAUGCCAUACUGACUCUAUUGAUAAAUUGAAUAUGUCAAUUAUCUUCACAUUUAAUAAUUUAACAGGUCAGAGGGAUUAUAUUGGAAUGACAUCAAGAUCACUAACAAAACAGUUUGAAAAGCAUAAACAUUAUAUUGCUAUUGGAAACCUUAACAUUACUUUGGCUAGAUGUUUUUAUAGAGUAGACCUUUGUAUUACAUGGGAUCAAGCCAAAAUUGCCAAACAAAUAUGUAAUAAUAAGAAAGCACCCAUUGUUGAAGCACAGACUAAACAAGAACAUAAGUAGCACACUUAUAUGAUUAAUGACAACAUUUCAAUCAAUGUUCCAAUGUCAUGUUCAAUCAUAUCUUUAAGAAUAUGCG
Molecule: long non-coding RNA, 1022 nt
Filed under: Androctonus crassicauda
Lineage: Eukaryota; Metazoa; Arthropoda; Arachnida; Scorpiones; Buthidae
Source: RNAcentral